CUCUAGUUGCAGUAGAGUUAGAUAAACAACAUUUGUGUGCAUCCAUGAUGUCAGUAACUGUCAUAUAUACUUUGACAGAUGGUACUAUGAAAAAUACCAUUACCGCAUCUGACCAAUGGUCUGGAUGGAGGGAUAGUAAAUAGAAAAUCUAUAUGUUGGGGGUUUUCUGGCUAGCUAAAAAUCUAUUAUAAUGGCAAAACCAGCAGGUGGCCCUAGUGAGAGAGAUCAGCAUGCAGGGAUGGAUGAGGACUAAUUUUGUGUGUAUGACAAUUGACUAUCUUUGCAUGUAUUGCUCUAUGUUAGGGAUCUUUUGUUCCAUUUUAGUAACAAUUUUGUUUAGGAGAAAAAGAAACAUAUUGCAGUUCAUGCUUUGUAAAUGCCACUAUUAUGUUAUGAUGGACACGUGGUAUGCCCUUGUUGGGUAGGUUUUGGAUUGAAACCAUGGUCGAGUGCUUGAGCCAUGUUUAGUGUGAAGCUUGAAUGGAUUUUCUUUUCUGUUGUAUUUGGCCCUUGUCUUUUCAAGCAUGCCAAAAAUCAUCCUAGUUUUGUAAUAUGUGGUUUGUGUCCAAUUAAUUUACUGUGGACCUUGCAUUUUUGUA
This is a long non-coding RNA of Prunus persica (peach), 599 nucleotides long. RefSeq lists it as uncharacterized. Lineage: Eukaryota; Viridiplantae; Streptophyta; Magnoliopsida; Rosales; Rosaceae. The transcript is spliced from 2 exons. The record is from RefSeq and is a predicted model, not a curated record.